RNAcentral lists this ribosomal RNA (439 nucleotides) under uncultured bacterium. RNAcentral's name for it is "partial 16S ribosomal RNA". It matches the Rfam family "Bacterial small subunit ribosomal RNA", at positions 339 to 795 of the family's 1533-position model. The record is from RNAcentral.
CUACGGGGUGCUGCAGUGAGGAAUAUUGCACAAUGGGGGGAACCCUGAUGCAGCAACGCCGCGUGGAGGAUGACGCAUUUCGGUGUGUAAACUCCUUUUAUAUGCCAAGAAAAUGACGGUAGCAUAUGAAUAAGCACCGGCUAACUCCGUGCCAGCAGCCGCGGUAAUACGGAGGGUGCAAGCGUUACUCGGAAUCACUGGGCGUAAAGGACGCGUAGGCGGGUUGGAAAGUCAGGUGUGAAAUCCUACAGCUUAACUGUAGAACUGCACUUGAAACUUCUAAUCUAGAGUAUGGGAGAGGGGGAUGGAAUUAGUGGUGUAGGGGUGAAAUCCGUAGAUAUCACUAGGAAUACCUAAAGCGAAGGCGAUCUCCUGGAACAUUACUGACGCUAAGGCGUGAAAGCGUGGGGAGCAAACAGGAUUAGAUACCCGGGUAGUC